Molecule: ribosomal RNA, 500 nt
Filed under: uncultured Myrionecta
Lineage: Eukaryota; Ciliophora; Litostomatea; Cyclotrichida; Mesodiniidae
Description: SSU rRNA
Rfam family: Eukaryotic small subunit ribosomal RNA
Source: RNAcentral
AAAACUUACCAGGUCAAGACAUGGGCGUGAUUGACAGGCUAAUGACUUUUCUCGAUUCCAUGGAUGGUGGUGCAUGGUCGCACUUAGUUGGUGCAGUGAUUUGUCAGGUUUAUUCCGGUAACGAACGAGACCUCGGCCUUGUAAAUAGCUAUGCUGCUUACAGGGACAUUGGCGGCUACGCCAAGGAAGCUCGAGGCAAUUGCAGAUCUGGAAUGCCCUUAGAUGUCCUGGGUCGCACGCGUGCUACAAUGACGCCACGAACGAGCUUGCGUGAUGAAAGUUACGCAUAAUCAGCAGUCGGCGUCUUAAGGGAUAGUCUCUUGUAACUGUGGGACUCCAACUAGGAAUGUCUCGUAAGCACAAGUCAACAUCUUGUGUUGAUUACGUCCCUGCUCUUUGUACACACCGCCCGUCACUCCUACCGAUCGAGUGUUUAGGUGAAUUUGAUGGACGUAAGGAAGUCAAAUAAACCUGAGCACUAGAGAAGAGAAGUCGAUAUC